GAUGAACGCUGGCGGCGUGCUUAACACAUGCAAGUCGAACGGUGAAGGCGGAGCUUGCUCUGCUGGAUCAGUGGCGAACGGGUGAGUAACACGUGAGCAAUCUGCCCCUGACUCUGGGAUAAGCGCUGGAAACGGCGUCUAAUACUGGAUACGAGCUGCGAAGGCAUCUUCAGCAGCUGGAAAGAAUUUCGGUCAGGGAUGAGCUCGCGGCCUAUCAGCUUGUUGGUGAGGUAAUGGCUCACCAAGGCGUCGACGGGUAGCCGGCCUGAGAGGGUGACCGGCCACACUGGGACUGAGACACGGCCCAGACUCCUACGGGAGGCAGCAGUGGGGAAUAUUGCACAAUGGGCGAAAGCCCGAUGCAGCAACGCCGCGUGAGGGACGACGGCCUUCGGGUUGUAAACCUCUUUUAGCAGGGAAGAAGCGAAAGUGACGGUACCUGCAGAAAAAGCGCCGGCUAACUACGUG
RNAcentral lists this ribosomal RNA (468 nucleotides) under uncultured bacterium. RNAcentral's name for it is "partial 16S ribosomal RNA". It matches the Rfam family "Bacterial small subunit ribosomal RNA", at positions 28 to 507 of the family's 1533-position model. The record is from RNAcentral.